CGUGCCUAACACAUGCAAGUCGAACGGACCUUAAGCCCUUCGGGACUUAACUUAGUGGCGAACGGGUGAGUAACGCGUGAGGAACCUGCCUUUCAGUGGGGGACAACAGUUGGAAACGACUGCUAAUACCGCAUGAUGCUUUUGAGAGACAUCUCUUGGAAGCCAAAGCUUAAUGUGCUGAAAGAUGGCCUCGCGUCUGAUUAGCUAGUUGGUGGGGUAACGGCUCACCAAGGCGACGAUCAGUAGCCGGUCUGAGAGGAUGAACGGCCACAUUGGGACUGAGAUACGGCCCAGACUCCUACGGGAGGCAGCAGUGGGGAAUAUUGGGCAAUGGGCGAAAGCCUGACCCAGCAACGCCGCGUGAAGGAAGAAGGCUUUCGGGUUGUAAACUUCUUUUACCAGGGACGAAGGACGUGACGGUACCUGGAGAAAAAGCAACGGCUAACUACGUGCCAGCAGCCGCGGUAAUACGUAGGUUGCAAGCGUUGUCCGGAUUUACUGGGUGUAAAGGGCGUGUAGGCGGAGAUGCAAGUUAGGAGUGAAAUCUAUGGGCUCAACCCAUAAACUGCUUCUAAAACUGUAUCCCUUGAGUAUCGGAGAGGCAAGCGGAAUUCCUAGUGUAGCGGUGAAAUGCGUAGAUAUUAGGAGGAACACCAGUGGCGAAGGCGGCUUGCUGGACGACAACUGACGCUGAGGCGCGAAAGCGUGGGGAGCAAAACAGGAUUAGAUACCCUGGUAGUCCACCCUGUAAACGAUGACUGGUAGGUGUCGGGUAGCAGAGCUAUUGAGUGCCGCAGCGGACGCAAUAAGCAGUCCACCUGGGGAGUUCGUUUGCAAGAAUGAAAACUCAAGUGAAUUGACGGGGUCCCGCUCAAGCGGUGGAGCAUGUGGUUUAAUUCGAAGCAACGCGAAGAACCUUUCCGGAUCUUGACAUCCCGAUGACCGCUUCGUAAUGGAAGCUUUUGUUCGGAACAUCGGUGACAGGUGGUGCAUGGUUGUCGUCAGCUCGUGUCGUGAGAUGUUGGGUUAAGUCCCGCAACGAGCGCAACCCCUAUCUUCAGUAGCCCGCAAGUUAAGUUGGGCACUCUGGAGAGACUGCCAGGGAUAACCUGGAGGAAGGUGGGGAUGACGUCAAAUCAUCAUGCCCCUUAUGGCCAGGGCUACACACGUGCUACAAUGGCGUAAACAAAGAGAAGCGAACCUGCGAGGGUAAGCAAAUCUCAAAAAUAACGUCUCAGUUCGGAUUGUAGUCUGCAACUCGACUACAUGAAGCUGGAAUCGCUAGUAAUCGCAGAUCAGAAUGCUGCGGUGAAUACGUUCCCGGGUCUUGCACAC
Molecule: ribosomal RNA, 1335 nt
Filed under: uncultured bacterium
Lineage: Bacteria
Description: partial 16S ribosomal RNA
Rfam family: Bacterial small subunit ribosomal RNA
Source: RNAcentral